RNAcentral lists this ribosomal RNA (478 nucleotides) under uncultured bacterium. RNAcentral describes it as "partial 16S ribosomal RNA". It matches the Rfam family "Bacterial small subunit ribosomal RNA", at positions 28 to 523 of the family's 1533-position model. The record is from RNAcentral.
GACGAACGCUGGCGGCGUGCUUAACACAUGCAAGUCGAACGGUAAGGCCCUUCGGGGUACACGAGUGGCGAACGGGUGAGUAACACGUGGGUGAUCUGCCCUGCACUUCGGGAUAAGCCUGGGAAACUGGGUCUAAUACCGGAUAGGACUCCUGGCUUCAUGGUUGGGGGUGGAAAGCUUUUGCGGUGUGGGAUGGGCCCGCGGCCUAUCAGCUUGUUGGUGGGGUAAUGGCCUACCAAGGCGACGACGGGUAGCCGGCCUGAGAGGGUGACCGGUCACACUGGGACUGAGAUACGGCCCAGGAUCCUACGGGAGGCAGCAGUGGGGAAUAUUGCACAAUGGGCGCAAGCCUGAUGCAGCGACGCCGCGUGAGGGAUGACGGCCUUCGGGUUGUAAACCUCUUUCAGCUAUGACGAAGCGCAAGUGACGGUAGUAGCAGAAGAAGGACCGGCCAACUACGUGCCAGCCGCCGCAGUAA